GAGGACAAGUAGCUUUCCCAAGGAAGGUCCUGCUUCCUAGAAGAGCUUGGCCCAGAGCCCUGUGCCCAGUGACCCCACUGGCUUUUCCCUCUACUUUCCCCGCCUGGCUGUGCUCCCCUUGAUUCGUGCCUAUUGGCCAUGCCCAUAGUCUCUCCCAAGCUCAGAGUUCACCUCUUUCUCCAGAUCCCCUGAGGUCCCCAAGCCUGACUCAGUGUAUCUGGGGGGUCCCUUCUGAGCCCACGCACCGACCCAGCUCCUCUUCCCUGCAGUUAUGGCCGUGGAGGCUGUGCCCAUGGUGCUCAGUGCCAUGGGCUUCACUGCGGCGGGAAUCGCCUCGUCCUCCAUAGCAGCCAAGAUGAUGUCCGCGGCGGCCAUUGCCAAUGGGGGUGGAGUUGCCUCGGGCAGCCUUGUGGCUACUCUGCAGUCACUGGGAGCAACUAGACUCUCCGGGUUGACCAAAUUCAUCCUGGGCUCCACUGGGUCUGCCAUUGCGGCUGGCAUUGCGAGGUUCUACUAGCUCCCUGCCCCUCGCCCUGCAGAGAAGAGAACCAUGCCAGGGAGAAGGCACUCAGCCAUCCUGACCCAGCGAGGAGCCAACUAUCUCAAAUAUACGUGGGGUGAAAUAUACCAAAUUCUGCACCUCCAGAGGAAAAUAAGAAAUAAAGAUGAACUGUUGCAA
RNAcentral lists this small RNA (679 nucleotides) under Pongo abelii (Sumatran orangutan). RNAcentral describes it as "retained intron". Lineage: Eukaryota; Metazoa; Chordata; Mammalia; Primates; Hominidae. The record is from RNAcentral.